This 62-nucleotide transfer RNA is filed under the name Pristionchus pacificus. RNAcentral's name for it is "tRNA-Ile". The record is from RNAcentral. Lineage: Eukaryota; Metazoa; Nematoda; Chromadorea; Rhabditida; Neodiplogasteridae.
ACUUUUCUGGUGAAAUAUAUCAUGUUAUCUUGAUAAGGUAAAGUUCCAUUAUGGGUGAAGUA